RNAcentral lists this ribosomal RNA (880 nucleotides) under Escherichia coli. RNAcentral describes it as "partial 23S ribosomal RNA". It matches the Rfam family "Bacterial large subunit ribosomal RNA", at positions 354 to 1239 of the family's 2925-position model. Lineage: Bacteria; Pseudomonadati; Pseudomonadota; Gammaproteobacteria; Enterobacterales; Enterobacteriaceae. The record is from RNAcentral.
CGAUACAGGGUGACAGCCCCGUACACAAAAAUGCACAUACUGUGAGCUCGAUGAGUAGGGCGGGACACGUGGUAUCCUGUCUGAAUAUGGGGGGACCAUCCUCCAAGGCUAAAUACUCCUGACUGACCGAUAGUGAACCAGUACCGUGAGGGAAAGGCGAAAAGAACCCCGGCGAGGGGAGUGAAAAAGAACCUGAAACCGUGUACGUACAAGCAGUGGGAGCCUCUUUUAUGGGGUGACUGCGUACCUUUUGUAUAAUGGGUCAGCGACUUAUAUUCUGUAGCAAGGUUAACCGAAUAGGGGAGCCGAAGGGAAACCGAGUCUUAACCGGGCGUUAAGUUGCAGGGUAUAGACCCGAAACCCGGUGAUCUAGCCAUGGGCAGGUUGAAGGUUGGGUAACACUAACUGGAGGACCGAACCGACUAAUGUUGAAAAAUUAGCGGAUGACUUGUGGCUGGGGGUGAAAGGCCAAUCAAACCGGGAGAUAGCUGGUUCUCCCCGAAAGCUAUUUAGGUAGCGCCUCGUGAAUUCAUCUCCGGGGGUAGAGCACUGUUUCGGCAAGGGGGUCAUCCCGACUUACCAACCCGAUGCAAACUGCGAAUACCGGAGAAUGUUAUCACGGGAGACACACGGCGGGUGCUAACGUCCGUCGUGAAGAGGGAAACAACCCAGACCGCCAGCUAAGGUCCCAAAGUCAUGGUUAAGUGGGAAACGAUGUGGGAAGGCCCAGACAGCCAGGAUGUUGGCUUAGAAGCAGCCAUCAUUUAAAGAAAGCGUAAUAGCUCACUGGUCGAGUCGGCCUGCGCGGAAGAUGUAACGGGGCUAAACCAUGCACCGAAGCUGCGGCAGCGACACUGUGUGUUGUUGGGUAGGGGAGCGU